This 66-nucleotide transfer RNA is filed under the name Thorius n. sp. RLM-2004. RNAcentral's name for it is "tRNA-Phe". It matches the Rfam family "tRNA". From Rfam's summary of the family: Transfer RNA (tRNA) molecules are approximately 80 nucleotides in length. Lineage: Eukaryota; Metazoa; Chordata; Amphibia; Caudata; Plethodontidae. The record is from RNAcentral.
GCAAAUGUAGUUUAUUUUAAAACAUGACACUGAAAAUGUCAAAAUAGAUAGCGUAUCUCAUCAGCA